Molecule: long non-coding RNA, 670 nt
Filed under: Ananas comosus (pineapple)
Lineage: Eukaryota; Viridiplantae; Streptophyta; Magnoliopsida; Poales; Bromeliaceae
Description: long non-coding RNA (ACOM_LNC023225)
Source: RNAcentral
GAUUAGUUAAUAACAAAUUUGUCAUUCCAAAUAUAAAAUAUACAACAUUUGCCCCUAAAAUUGAUCCUUAUCUUCCUUCACUGUAUUAUCACUAGUAUUUUUGGCUCCAUGAACUACAAAGUUUCCAACUCAGCAUUUAUGAGAAAAAUUAUUGUAAUGUACCAGAUUUUAAUAUAAAAAUUAAGUGUAAAUAAAAAUAGUGGAAGAUACUAUUUUUAUUGGACUUAAACAAGUAAAAUAUAGGUCGGAAAUGACUUGUACUGAAAUCGGAAUGAAAAUAGAAGAUUUAGAAUUUUCUGUAUAGAACGGGGCUAAUAUUUUAGCAGAAAAUGCAUAAUGUCAGAAAAUUAUGAAAACUGGAGAGUAUGUCAGAAUUAUUUUUAUGAGGAUAGAUUUAAAGUUUCAUAUCAUUCCGAUACCCGGAAAGUGAAAAAUAAAAUCCGACUGCUAUCUGCUAGAGAUUACAGUUCGGUAGAGUUUUCGGUGACCAAAAAUAGUCGAAACUAAGAAGUUAAGAUAUCGUUCACUUUAUUAGCCUAAACCAAGCUUGACUGUCAAAUUUGAGCGCAAACGGACAUUCAGAAGGGUUCCGGCGAAAAGGAACAAAUUCUGAGCUCCUAAAUGAAAGUUGUGUAUUGUUGAGGGGCUAUUUUAUAAAAGGGAUUUUGAU